This 3544-nucleotide ribosomal RNA is filed under the name Planctomycetota bacterium. RNAcentral's name for it is "23S ribosomal RNA". It matches the Rfam family "Archaeal large subunit ribosomal RNA". Lineage: Bacteria; Pseudomonadati; Planctomycetota. The record is from RNAcentral.
CAUUUUUUAUGCUGUUAGACGGAUAGCUUGGCUUUGGAAUUGAUGAAGGACGUGGCAAGCUGCGAUAAGCUUGGGCGAGCCGCAUGCAGGCUUUGAACCCGAGAUUUCCGAAUCGCCCCGAGAGGGGGAACUACGCCGGGAAUUGAAACAUCUUAGUACCGGCAGGAAGAGAAAAUAAAUAAUGAUUCCUUUAUUAGCAGAGAGCGAAAGAGGAAGAGGGCAAACCGAAUCUGUCUUUGAAAGGAGAACAGAGAUGUGGUGAGCGUAAAUUCCUAAGUUUGCGAAUCAAACUUUCUGGAAAGAAAGGCCUUAGAAGGUGACAGCCCUGUAGAUGAAGCGAAUAUGGAGUUGCUCAAAGAGUAGGGCCUCCUGGAUUGGAGGUCUGAACAUGGCGGAAUUAACCGCUAACCCUGAAUAGAACCAAAGUCCGAUAGCGCACAAGUACCGCGAGGGAAAGCUGAAAAGAACUCUUGGCAGAGUGUGAAAAGAUUUGAAAUCUAACAGUUACAGAUUGUUACUGCUCUCCUCUCUUCGGAGAAUGAGGGUUGUAUCGUACGUUUCGAAGAACGGGCCAGGGAGUUUUCUUAUAUGGCGAGGCUAAUCUCUUAUGGAGAGUAACCGAAGCGAAAGCAAGUUGGAAACAGCGCAAGUCAUAUGGGGAAGACCUGAAGCCGGGUGAUCUAUUCUUGAGCAAGAUGAAGUCUCUCGAAAGGGAGAUGGAGGUCUGAACCAGUGCUACGUACAUAUGCUUGGAUGACUUGAGAAUAGGAGUGAAAAGCCUAUCUAACUCGGCGAUGGCUGGUUCCUGCUGAAAUAUGCCUUCGUAUAGUCGUAUCCAGUUUGCCGGCGGUGUAUAGUACGGAUAAAAUUUGCAGAGGCUAUUGCCUACGGGAUUUUUUCCAACUCGGAAGCUGUCGGCUGCGUAAGAUAUGAAACAGGGGCGGUGCGUAAGGUAUCGUUCCGAAAGGGGAAUAACCCAGACCAAAGUUAAGGUCCCUAAGUUGUGCUAAGUGUAUCAAAAGGUGUCUUGAACCUGAGACAGUGGGGAUGUAAGCUCAGAAGCAGCUAUCAUUUAAAGAAAGCGUUACAGCUCACCCAUCGAGGCUCAGGGCCCUGAAAAUGGACGGGGCUAAGCACAGCACCGAGACUUUGGCGGCGCUCAUCAGAGCGUUCGAGUAAGCAGGCGUGUUUAUUGCGCAGAAGCUUUUUGGAGACAAAGAGUGGAGCGAUAAGCAAUGAGAAUCCUGGCAAUAGUAGGAUGUGACUUUGCUGAAAACGCAAAGUGUCGUAAGAGCAAGGUUUCCUUGGCAAUAUACGUUAGCCAAGGGUUAGUCAGUCCCUAAGCCGUACCUUAACUGACUACGGCGAUGGAAGAAAUGUUAAUAUUCAUUUACUGGCUGAGUUUUAUUCAGUGCAAAGCUUUUGGACAGGCGGGCAUUCGAGAGAAUGUUCCUGCAGAGAAAUGGGGGGAGCGUAAUGCUAAGAUCUUCAUGAACUUGCAGGACAAAACCGCUGAUUCCGGGAGCCAGUGAAAAAUGCGCUGCUCAUGAAUUCAGUCAACUGUACCAACAACCGGCACUGGUGCUCUGGCUUAAUAGGCUAAGACAUGAAAGGUCAAACGAGUUAAGGGAAUUCGGCAAUUUAGCCCCAUAACUUCGGUUUAAGGGGUGUCUAUCUUUGUCCGCAAGGAGCAUUGAUAGAUCACAGUUACAAGGAUGGCCCGACUGUUUACCAAAAACGUAGCUGAGUGCUAAGCUGAAAAGCUGUGUAUACUCGGUGAGACCUGCCCAGUGGUGGUGUGUUAAACUCUUUUUCAAGGGAGCUAAGCCCCAUCAAACGGCGGGGGUAACUAUGACCCUCUUAAGGUAGCGUAAUACCUUGUCGUAUGAAUUACGACUUGCAUGAAUGGUUUAACGAGGUCGUCACUGUCCCUAACUCGAGCCUUCUGAAAAUACUGUGUGGCGAAAAUGCCACGGACGCCUAGUGGGAAGCGAAGACCUUGUGGACCUUUACUGCAACUUGUUGUUGUGAUCUUAGAGGGGAUGCAUAGCAUAGGUAGGAGCGUCGAUGUCGUGAUUUCGGUUGCGGCGGAGCGAACCUGUAAUACUACCCAUCUUUUCUAAGAUUGCUUACUCUUCAUGGGGACAGCAUCAGGCGGGCAGUUUGACUGGGGCGGUGCCCUGUCGAAAAGAUAUCGAUAGGACCCAAAGACAAGCUCAUCCGGCUUGGAAAUCCGGAGCAGAGUGCGAAGGCAAAAGCUUGUCUGACUGUAUUUUGCAAAGCAAGAAAUGCAGGGAUGAAAGUCGGGCUUAGUGAACCCACGUGCUUUUUUAAUGGAAGCCGUGUCUGAUAGAAAAGGUACCCCAAGGAUAACAGGCUUGUCGCCCCCGAUAGUCCGUAUUGACGGGGCGGUUUGGUACAUCGCUGUCGGCUCUACCUAUCCUGGUUGUGCAGUAGCAACCAAGGGUGUCGGAGUUCACGCAUUAAAAGGUAUCGUUAGCUGGGUUAAGAACGUCAACAAAUUAUCCAGAUUAACACCCAAACGAAAAAAUAAACAAGCAAGAUAAGCGGCGUUGCGUGCGAGUGAUUGCACGAAAAAUAAAAUUAGCUCAUAUCGGUGAAGCCUUAAUAUUUAUUAACUGUUGAAUAUUAUGGUAAUACCGAGGGAAGGUGAGGUUUAUGGAUUCAAUAACGCUUGCAUAUAUCGCAGGUUUCCUGGAUGGUGAUGGUAGCAUAUUCUUCCAAAUAGUUCCGAGGAAAGACUAUAAACAAAAGUUUCAGAUAAGAACUUCAAUAGCUUUUUAUCAGAAAACAGAAUUUAAAGAAAUCCUGGAAUGGCUUAAAGAAAAAUUUGGAAUUGGAUAUAUACGUCACAGAAAAACACGAAUGAGUGAUUAUACGAUUGUUGAAUCAGGAGAAGUGGAAAAAAUAUUGACACUUCUAAAGCCAUAUGUCAGGCUCAAGAAAAAACAAGUUGAACUUGGAUUAUUAAUCCUUGAGAAAUUAAAAAUCAAAAAGUCUGAUAAAGACUUUUUGGAAAUUUGCAAACUUGUUGACAAAUUCAAAGAGCUUAAUUAUUCCAAGAAAAGAAUAAUAACAUAUGACUCUGUAAGUAAAUCUUUACCCCCGUAGAGACUUAGGGCUUUAAGCCCUGGAGUCCUGUCCGAUUAAAAGAACAGGGCUAAGACGCUAAUCUCCUUUUGCAAGAAAAGGAUGAAGGUAUAGUCCACCCAUUGAAAAUAAAUAAUCAAUGAAUAAGUACGCGAGACAGUUUGUAUGAUAUCUACUAGGUGUGUCGUUGAGUGAGUGGAACAACCUUCUAGUACGAGAGGAACGGGGGUUGGGUGCCUCUGGUGUGCGGUUGUCAAUGGCAGGCCGCGAAGCUACGCACUGACUGAUAAGGGCUGAAUGCAUCUAAGCCCGAAGCAGCCCGCAAAACGACUCAACAAAGGCCGUCAAAGAAGAUGACGUCGAUAGAGCUGCUGUGUAAGACCCAAGAACACGAGGGUUUCAGCACGCAGCCACUAAAAGCCUCAUUUAUGUU